CCUACGGGAGGCUGCAGUGAGGAAUAUUGGUCAAUGGACGAGAGUCUGAACCAGCCAAGUAGCGUGAAGGAUGACUGCCCUAUGGGUUGUAAACUUCUUUUAUACGGGAAUAAAACGUUCCACGUGUGGGAUUUUGUAUGUACCAUAUGAAUAAGGAUCGGCUAACUCCGUGCCAGCAGCCGCGGUAAUACGGAGGAUCCGAGCGUUAUCCGGAUUUAUUGGGUUUAAAGGGAGCGUAGGUGGAUUGUUAAGUCAGUUGUGAAAGUUUGCGGCUCAACCGUAAAAUUGCAGUUGAAACUGGCAGUCUUGAGUACAGUAGAGGUGGGCGGAAUUCGUGGUGUAGCGGUGAAAUGCUUAGAUAUCACGAAGAACUCCGAUUGCGAAGGCAGUUCACUGGACUGCAACUGACACUGAGGCUCGAAAGUGUGGGUAUCAAACAGGAUUAGAUACCCUAGUAGUC
This 460-nucleotide ribosomal RNA is filed under the name uncultured bacterium. RNAcentral's name for it is "partial 16S ribosomal RNA". It matches the Rfam family "Bacterial small subunit ribosomal RNA", at positions 338 to 795 of the family's 1533-position model. The record is from RNAcentral.